CCUACGGGAGGCAGCAGUGAGGAAUAUUGGUCAAUGGACGUGAGGCUGAACCAGCCAAGUAGCGUGAAGGAUGACUGCCCUAUGGGUUGUACACUUCUUUUAUAUGGGAAUAAAAGUUUCCACGUGUGGGUUUUUGUAUGUACCCUAUGAAUAAGCAUCGGCUAACUCCGUGCCAGCAGCCGCGGUAAUACGGAGGAUGCGAGCGUUAUCCGGAUUUAUUGGGUUUAAAGGGAGCGUAUGUGGAUUGUUAAGUCAGUUGUGAAAGUUUGUGGCUCAACCGUAAAAUUGCAGUUGAAACUGGCAGUCUUGAGUAUAGUAGAGGUGGGCGGAAUUCGUGGUGUAGCGGUGAAAUGCUUAGAGAUCACGAAGAACUCCGAUUGCGAAGGCAGCUCACUGGACUACAACUGACACUGAGGCUCGAAAGUGUGGGUAUCAAACAGGAUUAGAUACCCCUGUAGUC
This 460-nucleotide ribosomal RNA is filed under the name uncultured bacterium. RNAcentral describes it as "partial 16S ribosomal RNA". It matches the Rfam family "Bacterial small subunit ribosomal RNA", at positions 338 to 795 of the family's 1533-position model. The record is from RNAcentral.